GGAGGAGUGCCCCGAGAGCAAAAGAAAAAGAGAGACGGGGUCCAGCAAGCCAGAGAGGGUGGUGAGGUUUCAUUCCUUUUUGUUUCCCUUUUUUAAAUUUUGCCGUUGCUUCCAUCAUAAUAUUAAUAUAUAUUUUUUUUGUUUCUCACUCGCUCACUUUCUCUCGCUUUCUUACUGUCCAAACAGUUUUAUGCUCUCUCUGCUUUCGCUCUUUCUAUGUCUCUUGCUUUCACUCUUUCUAUCUCUAAACACCCUCGCACUUCCUUUUCUCUCACACUUACUCACUGAAAUAAUAUGAGCAGAGUGCGCGUUGCAUUUCACCACCGGUUAUGAAUCCCACCACCGAACCAUCACAACUUCAGCCGCCACAGCCACCACAGCCCCACCGUCCUUCCACCUCCUGCGAUCGUCAUCCAGACGAACAUUUCACCGGCUUCUGCCCCUCAUGCCUCUGCGAGCGCCUCGCCGUGCUCGAGCCCUCUUCAUCCUCCGCUUCCUCUUCUCGCAAACCCCCCAUUCCUACCACCAGCACCGCCACCGCUGCCCUUAAAGCCAUUUUUAAGCCUUCCGGUGGUACUGGCAGCUCUAAGCCUUCCUUUUUCCCUGAGCUCCGCCGCACCAAGUCUUUCUCUGCCUCCAAAAACGAGGGCUUCUCUGGAGUGUUUGAGCCCCAGAGAAAAUCCUGCGACGUUAGGGUUCGCAGCACUCUCUGUUCCCUCUUUUAUCAAGACGACGAGCGAAAUACUUCUAAAAGGGACUCCUUCAAAGGUCCUGAAAUCGAGUUUGAGUCCAGAAUUUCUUCCUCCAGCGUUCGAGGUCCCGUUUUUGAGUCUAAAGAAGAGGACGAAAUCGAAACCGACACCGAUAAUGAGAGUGGAGUUUUAGACGAGCCCAUUUUAACUGCAAGAAAUUCCAACGCCAACCCAAUUGAAGAGAUUAUACAGGAAGAGGAAGCUAUUGUUAUAGAGCCAGAGAAAGUGCAAGAGGAGGAGCUCAAGCCCAUGAAGGACCACAUAGAUCUCGAUUCACAAACCAAGAAGCCUUCUGGGAGGGAUUUUAAAGAGAUUGCAGGUAGUUUUUGGUCUGCUGCUUCAGUUUUCAGCAAGAAAUUGCAGAAAUGGAGGCAAAAGCAGAAGCUCAAAAAGCGGAGGAAUGGUGGACCAGGGUCGGCCACAUUGCCAGUGGAGAAGCCGAUUGGCCGGCAGUACAGGGAGACCCAGUCGGAAAUUGCGGAUUACGGGUUUGGCAGAAGAUCUUGCGACACGGAUCCGAGAUUCUCGCUCGAUGCAGGCAGGAUUUCGUUCGAUGAUCCUCGCUACUCCUUCGAUGAGCCCCGUGCAUCGUGGGAUGGAUAUUUGAUUGGAAGAACGUUUCCGAGAAUGCCCACCAUGGUUUCUGUGGUUGAGGAUGCUCCUGUUAAUGUUGUUUUAAGGUCAGAUACUCAAAUCCCAGUUGAAGAACCACAGCCAAUUCCCAUGAAUUCCAUCCACGAGGAUGAGAUUGUUCCUGGUGGCUCUGCUCAAACCAGGGACUAUUAUUCUGAUUCUUCGUCUAGGAGGAGGAGGAGCUUCGACAGGUCUAAUUCUAUUAGGAAAACUGCUGCGGCUGUGGUGGCUGAGAUUGACGAGUUGAAGCAUGAGCAUGCUUCUGCUUCUGCUUCCGCUGCCAAUGCUAAAGUGUCACCGGCAACUGUGGAUUACUUCCAUGCACCCAAGUUGGUGGUUCCUGACAGGGAUUCAAACUCCAAUUCUUUAAGGGACGACUGCUCUGAGACUUUUGAAAUGGGAUUCAGGGACCACGCAUCAAUAGUGGGGAAUGGUGAAAGGAAGGGGGCCAAGAAGUCCCGAAGAUGGAGUAAGGCCUGGAAUAUUUGGGGGUUUAUACACCGGCGAAGUGUCAACAAAGAUGAGGACGAGGAUAUGUAUAGCAGAGCAAAUGGGGUUGAGAGGUCAUUUUCAGAAUCUUGGCAAGAAUUGAGAGAGGAACGGAAUGGAGAAGUGAGAGGAGCUUUUAAUCCAAAGAUUUGGAGGAGCAAUAGCAGUGUUAGUUGGAGGAAUUCCAAUGGUCUGGGUGGUGGAUCAUUUGGUAGUGCAAGAAAGAGCAGUGUUGAGACUAAUGGGCAUGGAAGAAAGAAGAGAGAUGAGUUUGUGUUGGAGAGGAAUAGAAGUGCAAGGUAUUCACCAAACAACAUUGAUAAUGGACUGUUAAGGUUCUACUUGACACCGAUGAGGAGUAGCCGGAGAGGUGGGUGGGGGAAGAACAAGUCCACUCAUGCACAGUCUAUUGCAAGGAGCGUAUUGCGAUUGUACUGAAUUGAAUUGGGUGGGAGGUCCAUAAAGGUGUUUCUUUGGUUUAAUGUUGUUAAUUUUGAUGCAUUUGUUGUGUAAGCACACAUGCUUAAUGUAUUCUUCAUGAGUUGGUUGGUUGGAUAAAAAAAAUCACCCCUGAAUUUGUUGCCUUUCUUAACAGGCUAGGACAUAGAGACCAUGUGUGCUUGGCUUUGGAUUCAAUUGGAUUCAAUUGGGCUUUGGAUUCAAUUGGGGUUUCUAUUUUUGUUCUUGUCCUACUGCAUAGAAUUUGCUGAUAGCCUAUAGGUCAAGGCUGCAAGGUUCUCUCGGAGCAUUUUAACCCAAACGAUUGUCAUAUUCUAUAUCCUUUGGGACAAAAAGGAGUCUUGAUGUGAGCUUAUGUCCCCUUUGUUAUUGGUCCCAAAUUCAUGGUCACAGUAGAGGUUUUCCUUCUUCGAGGUUCAGUGGUCAGUCUGACCCUCUUGCGAGACCAUGAGGUUGGUUUGGUCCUUUGCGUUGCUAGGGAAGACCACUUGCAUCUAUCAUUGGGUGAUUUCUACUGUUUAACCUGGGGAAUAGGGAAUAAUAGGUUAAUAAUGGAGACAGAAUAUUAUUGUCAUCCUAUUGUACCUUAUUUGAUGUUCUCUUUCCUCCAAUUGCUUUUUCUUGAGCUUUCAAGAAUUGGAGAUCAAAUUUCAGUGGUUCUAGUAAUUAAAGUAGUUGCCUGAUUAAUCAGGUAACAGGAAGGAAGCAAUGCCUGUACCUGCAGGUGCAGAACAGGAAUAUGGUAGAGCCAGAGACCUGCAGACUGCACUGAAUACAUCAGACUUAGACAUAUACUUUUGGUGUCUGAUAUCUGCUGAACAAAGAAAGAAAUAAUAGCUCCAUAAGCUACUGAUGUAGAAGAUGAAAUGCUUUUCUGCAGAAAUCAUAGUUCAGAAUGAUUAAGAUCCUCUUUGUUCUAGUGUAGCGUGCUAUGAUCUCGUGUAAUAUAUUCCCUUCCUCUGUUUCAAAAAUCAUUUGCUCGUGGACACAAUGAGAACUCUCUACUUAUCGUUAUCUACAGCUCGUGGCUGUGUAUUGUGAAGUUAAAGCCUAAAAAGCUUGCAAAAUCAAGACAAAAAG
RNAcentral lists this unclassified non-coding RNA (3413 nucleotides) under Hevea brasiliensis (rubber tree). The record is from RNAcentral. Lineage: Eukaryota; Viridiplantae; Streptophyta; Magnoliopsida; Malpighiales; Euphorbiaceae.